UACGUAGGGGGCUAGCGUUGUCCGGAAUCAUUGGGCGUAAAGCGCGUGUAGGCGGUCCGGUAAGUCCGCUGUGAAAGCCGGGGGCUCAACCCUCGGAUGCCGGUGGAUACUGCCGGGCUCGAGUCCGGAAGAGGAGUGUGGAAUUCCUGGUGUAGCGGUGAAAUGCGCAGAUAUCAGGAGGAACACCAAUGGCGAAGGCAGCACUCUGGGACGUGACUGACGCUGAGACGCGAAAGCGUGGGGAGCAAACAGG
RNAcentral lists this ribosomal RNA (253 nucleotides) under uncultured bacterium. RNAcentral describes it as "partial 16S ribosomal RNA". It matches the Rfam family "Bacterial small subunit ribosomal RNA", at positions 524 to 776 of the family's 1533-position model. The record is from RNAcentral.